This 505-nucleotide ribosomal RNA is filed under the name uncultured Latescibacterota bacterium. RNAcentral's name for it is "bacterial SSU rRNA". It matches the Rfam family "Bacterial small subunit ribosomal RNA", at positions 8 to 489 of the family's 1533-position model. The record is from RNAcentral. Lineage: Bacteria; Pseudomonadati; Candidatus Latescibacterota.
AGAGUUUGAUCAUGGCUCAGAACGAACGCUGGCGGCGUGGAUUAGGCAUGCAAGUCAAACGCGAAAGUGGGAGCAAUCCCGCGAGUAGAGUGGCGAACGGGUGAGUAACGCGUGAAGAACCUGCCUUCAACAGGGGGAUAACACUCCCAACGGGGUGCUAAUACCGCAUGAGACCACGGGUCUGCAUGGACCUGAGGUCAAAGGUGGCCUCUGCUUGCAAGCUACCGGUUGAAGAUGGCUUCGCGUCCCAUUAGCUAGUUGGCGGUGUAAAAGACCACCAAGGCGACGAUGGGUAGCUGGUCUGAGAGGAUGGUCAGCCACACUGGGACUGAGAUACGGCCCAGACUCCUACGGGAGGCAGCAGUCGAGAGGCUUCGGCAAUGGGGGAAACCCUGACCGAGCGACGCCGCGUGGAGGAUGAAGGCCCCUGGGUUGUAAACUCCUUUUGCUGGGGAAGAAACACGAUCAGGUGAACAAUCUGGUCGUUGACGUACCCGGCGAAUAG